Long non-coding RNA from Talpa occidentalis (Iberian mole), 856 nucleotides. RefSeq lists it as uncharacterized. NCBI's taxonomy places the organism in Eukaryota, Metazoa, Chordata, Mammalia, Eulipotyphla, Talpidae. The transcript has 6 exons. The record is from RefSeq and is a predicted model, not a curated record.
CCGCCACCUAUGACUAUCCUUGUUAAGGUGUUGUCCUAUGAAGAUCUAAGGAACUUUCAGACGGGAAGCAAAUCAGGAAUGUAAUGGGCUUCUUAAGGAACAGGAGUUGCAAGAUCUGAAAUCCAGAGAGGAGCUUCUACAAGAAAGACCAAGAAGGCAGCAUCCAGAUUGGUAGGAGACACAGAGACACAUGCUUACAUCUCUGAGAAAGUUCUAACUUUGAGACUGGACCAAGAUGAUAUUCACUCCUGGGAGGAUAAUCUAAAAAUUAACCCAGAUUUGCACUAAACUCAGAGGGGCCUGUGGCUUGGAAUGAAACUGGACACUGGCGACCAACAUGAAACACACUGGAGGAGUACCUUGUGUCAUUAAAAAAAAAAGAGGUCAGGAAAAGUUCCCACUGCAGAUUUUCAGAUUUGAGAAUACAAGUGGACAUGGAGAUGAAAAUGUUGAUAGCAGUGAAAAGUAGGUUUUGGUUGUCUGAAAGCAUUUAAAGCUAAAUGUAUGGACAUUAUGAAUAUGAAGUUCUUUGUUGAGGCUAUAGAAAGAGAUUGAUUCUCCUUAAAUGAAAGUGUAAAGGGAAUUGAGAACAUUUCAAGAAAAAGCUACAGAGAGAGAAAGGGCAAAGAAAAUGAAACCUGGAGAAACACAAAGGAAGAGUAGUCAGAGAUACAGUUACUCUUUUCCAUUAUAAACAUUGUAACAGGUGGUCUGUCAGUGGUUGAGGUCAUCAGAGUUACCAAGGCAUAGGUGUGACAAGAUAAAUCCACUCAUUCAAGUAAAGUAAGAGAAUAAGAGGAAAAUGGAGAAAUUUGCUUAGUGGUAAGACGGAAUCUGGGCCAGCAGCACUCUUGGG